This 500-nucleotide ribosomal RNA is filed under the name uncultured bacterium. RNAcentral describes it as "partial 16S ribosomal RNA". It matches the Rfam family "Bacterial small subunit ribosomal RNA", at positions 30 to 523 of the family's 1533-position model. The record is from RNAcentral.
AUUGAACGCUGGCGGAAUGCUUUACACAUGCAAGUCGAACGGCAGCACGGGGGCAACCCUGGUGGCGAGUGGCGAACGGGUGAGUAAUACAUCGGAACGUGCCCAGUCGUGGGGGAUAACGUAGCGAAAGUUACGCUAAUACCGCAUACGAACUACGGAUGAAAGAGGGGGACCGUAAGGCCUCGCGCGAUUGGAGCGGCCGAUGUCAGAUUCGGUAGUUGGUGAGGUAAAGGCUCACCAAGCCGACGAUCUGUAGCUGGUCGGAGAGGACGACCAGCCACACUGGGACUGAGACACGGCCCAGACUCCUACGGGAGGCAGCAGUGGGGAAUUUUGGACAAUGGGCGCAAGCCUGAUCCAGCCAUUCCGCGUGCAGGACGAAGGCCUUCGGGUUGUAAACUGCUUUUGUACGGAACGAAAAGGCUCUGGUUAAUACCUGGGGCUCAUGACGGUACCGUAAGAAUAAGCACCGGCUAACUACGUGCCAGCCGCCGCAGUAA